GAUGAACGCUGGCGGCGUGCUUAACACAGGCAAGUCGAACGAGAAGUGAAGACGGAAACCUUCGGGCGGAAGGCUUUAUUUCGAGUGGCGGACGGGUGAGUAACGCGUGGGUAACCUGCCUCAUACAGGGGGAUAACAGUUGGAAACGACUGUUAAUACCGCAUAAGACCACAGCACCGCAUGGUGCGGGGGUAAAAACUCCGGUGGUAUGAGAUGGACCCGCGUUCGAUUAGCCAGUUGGCGGGGUAACGGCCCACCAAAGCGACGAUCGAUAGCCGAUCUGAGAGGAUGACCGGCCACAUUGGGACUGAGACACGGCCCAAACUCCUACGGGAGGCAGCAGUGGGGAAUAUUGCACAAUGGGGGAAACCCUGAUGCAGCGACGCCGCGUGAGUGAAGAAGUAUUUCGGUAUGUAAAGCUCUAUCAGCAGGGAAGAAAAUGACGGUACCUGAGUAAGAAGCCCCGGCUAACUACGUG
RNAcentral lists this ribosomal RNA (478 nucleotides) under uncultured bacterium. RNAcentral's name for it is "partial 16S ribosomal RNA". It matches the Rfam family "Bacterial small subunit ribosomal RNA", at positions 28 to 507 of the family's 1533-position model. The record is from RNAcentral.